UUAAAUUGAAGAGUUUGAUCAUGGCUCAGAUUGAACGCUGGCGGCAGGCCUAACACAUGCAAGUCGAACGGUAACAGGAAGCAGCUUGCUGCUUCGCUGACGAGUGGCGGACGGGUGAGUAAUGUCUGGGAAACUGCCUGAUGGAGGGGGAUAACUACUGGAAACGGUGGCUAAUACCGCAUAACGUCGCAAGACCAAAGAGGGGGACCUUCGGGCCUCUUGCCAUCAGAUGUGCCCAGAUGGGAUUAGCUUGUUGGUGAGGUAACGGCUCACCAAGGCGACGAUCCCUAGCUGGUCUGAGAGGAUGACCAGCCACACUGGAACUGAGACACGGYCCAGACUCCUACGGGAGGCAGCAGUGGGGAAUAUUGCACAAUGGGCGCAAGCCUGAUGCAGCCAUGCCGCGUGUAUGAAGAAGGCCUUCGGGUUGUAAAGUACUUUCAGCGGGGAGGAAGGUGUUGUGGUUAAUAACCGCAGCAAUUGACGUUACCCGCAGAAGAAGCACCGGCUAACUCCGUGCCAGCAGCCGCGGUAAUACGGAGGGUGCAAGCGUUAAUCGGAAUUACUGGGCGUAAAGCGCACGCAGGCGGUCUGUCAAGUCGGAUGUGAAAUCCCCGGGCUCAACCUGGGAACUGCAUUCGAAACUGGCAGGCUUGAGUCUUGUAGAGGGGGGUAGAAUUCCAGGUGUAGCGGUGAAAUGCGUAGAGAUCUGGAGGAAUACCGGUGGCGAAGGCGGCCCCCUGGACAAAGACUGACGCUCAGGUGCGAAAGCGUGGGGAGCAAACAGGAUUAGAUACCCUGGUAGUCCACGCCGUAAACGAUGUCUACUUGGAGGUUGUGCCCUUGAGGCGUGGCUUCCGGAGCUAACGCGUUAAGUAGACCGCCUGGGGAGUACGGCCGCAAGGUUAAAACUCAAAUGAAUUGACGGGGGCCCGCACAAGCGGUGGAGCAUGUGGUUUAAUUCGAUGCAACGCGAAGAACCUUACCUGGUCUUGACAUCCACAGAAGAAUCCAGAGAUGGAUUUGUGCCUUCGGGAACUGUGAGACAGGUGCUGCAUGGCUGUCGUCAGCUCGUGUUGUGAAAUGUUGGGUUAAGUCCCGCAACGAGCGCAACCCUUAUCCUUUGUUGCCAGCGGUUAGGCCGGGAACUCAAAGGAGACUGCCAGUGAUAAACUGGAGGAAGGUGGGGAUGACGUCAAGUCAUCAUGGCCCUUACGACCAGGGCUACACACGUGCUACAAUGGCGCAUACAAAGAGAAGCGACCUCGCGAGAGCAAGCGGACCUCAUAAAGUGCGUCGUAGUCCGGAUUGGAGUCUGCAACUCGACUCCAUGAAGUCGGAAUCGCUAGUAAUCGUGGAUCAGAAUGCCACGGUGAAUACGUUCCCGGGCCUUGUACACACCGCCCGUCACACCAUGGGAGUGGGUUGCAAAAGAAGUAGGUAGCUUAACCUUCGGGAGGGCGCUUACCACUUUGUGAUUCAUGACUGGGGUGAAGUCGUAACAAGGUAACCGUAGGGGAACCUGCGGUUGGAUCACCUCCUUACCUUAAAGAAGC
Molecule: ribosomal RNA, 1556 nt
Filed under: Salmonella enterica subsp. enterica serovar Enteritidis
Lineage: Bacteria; Pseudomonadati; Pseudomonadota; Gammaproteobacteria; Enterobacterales; Enterobacteriaceae
Description: bacterial SSU rRNA
Rfam family: Bacterial small subunit ribosomal RNA
Source: RNAcentral